Molecule: long non-coding RNA, 1297 nt
Filed under: Scleropages formosus (Asian bonytongue)
Lineage: Eukaryota; Metazoa; Chordata; Actinopteri; Osteoglossiformes; Osteoglossidae
Description: lncRNA (ENSSFOG00015025598.1)
Source: RNAcentral
AUGAUGAUGAUCGCCCGGCGCUGCGCGGAGCUGCUGUGCUCCCCCGAAAGCCACGACAGGAGACGGCGGCUCCAGACACACACACAGAGAGAGAGAGAGAGAGAGACGCGCGCACACACACACACACACACACACACACACACACACACACACAGACGCGUUUCCUUAAAGACACAAAAGACGGGACCCGGGCGGACAGCAGCAGUCAGAGCAGACAGCGGACAGCACGGCGUCCUCUUGGACCUGCUCAGCACAUCGAUCGAACUGGUGAUCAUGCUCUUCAUUCAUGUUGUAUGAACAACAAGUAUGUUGUUGAAGGGCCAUAUGUGUGAGUUGGUGAACGAGUCCAGGGUACAUAAGAAAGGUGUUUUGCUCCUCCUGGGACAGACACCUGUCUCAGUUUGACCAAGGGUUAGACUGCCGUCGGCCGCCUGCCACCUGAACUGAGCUGCUCCACUUGAAGGAAUUAUCUCACUUGUUACUCGCUAUGAGGACCGAACUGAGCCGCGAGGCCGGAGGAUGUUUCUAGAUAAAGUUCGCAGUGCGAAGGUGUCAACGUUUGUAAAAUGGUAGUUUUAGGACACCAUCGUGAUGAAAAUGGACCGCAUGUGUUCUUCAUUAUCCGGCGGAGGAAGGCUGCCGACAUCAAAGCGUCGGAGAACGUUUGCACGCCAUCGCCUUGAGAAGGAUACGGAUGAUAUGUAAUAACUUUGGACAUUUGCGAUUUCUGCCGCGGUAUGGUCUCCUUGCAAAGAACUCUUUUCUACCCUGCUGGGCUACCCAAGUGAUUCAAGGACUUUGACGCUGAGAAAUUUUAAAUUGAUGGCAGUGUUGUGCUUUGAGCAGGAGACAUGCAUUUGUUUUCUCUAGUACAGGGAACCGUGGUGGUUUACCAGAUCACAGCCUCCUCGCGCGCUUUAAUACAUUGUACGUUUACGUGCUACGGUUUUGAUACAGCUAACCUCCUUGGAAACAAAACCUGAUGAUAUGAUUUAUAAUCAGCAGGUAGUGUAGUGGUUAGACCUAAAGGCGGCAGGUUCAAUUCCCACCUCUGGCUGUAGUACCCUUGAGCAAGGUACUUACCCUAAAUUGCUCCAGUAAAAUUACCCAGCUAUAUAAAUGGGUAAAUAAUUGUAAACAUCUUAAUGUUGUGUAUCUCGUUGGAAAAAAUCAUCCACCCAAUGAAUCAAUAUUAAAUUGGCCUAUUGGAAGGGGCAGCUAGUAGUGUAGUAAUUAGAGCUACUGCCUUUAGAUCCCAAGGUUGCAGGUUCAAUCCCCCUCUGGCUGUAGUACCCUU